CUGACCUUCAAUAUUAUUAGCUAUGAAGAGGCACAAUAGCAAGGCGUGACAAAAGAUUAAGAUGGUGGCAUACAGGUUUCAAGGGGCCUCAGUAAGGGAGACAGUGGAGUGUGGAGUUUUGAGGGCAUAUGAUGCUCUGGGUGACUGGGUUUCUGAGGUCAAAAGUCUCACUCUCCACCCCCAGGCCGCUGCACCUGGCCAUUAUCCAUGGGCAGACUGGUGUCAUUGAGCAGAUAGCCCAAGUCAUUUAUCAUGCUCAGUACCUUGGGGUCAUCAACCUCACCAAUCACCUGCACCAGACACCUCUGCACCUGGCAGUAAUCACUGGGCAGACACGGGUGGUGAGCUUCCUGCUGCAGGUGGGUGCAGACCCCACACUGCUGGAUCGCCAUGGUGA
Molecule: long non-coding RNA, 397 nt
Filed under: Rattus norvegicus (Norway rat)
Lineage: Eukaryota; Metazoa; Chordata; Mammalia; Rodentia; Muridae
Description: long non-coding RNA NONRATT001801
Source: RNAcentral